Molecule: ribosomal RNA, 2592 nt
Filed under: Salmonella enterica subsp. enterica serovar Typhi
Lineage: Bacteria; Pseudomonadati; Pseudomonadota; Gammaproteobacteria; Enterobacterales; Enterobacteriaceae
Description: bacterial LSU rRNA
Rfam family: Bacterial large subunit ribosomal RNA (bases 1007-2592)
Source: RNAcentral
GAGAUCAAAGAAGUUCGCGCGGGCGACAUCGCGGCUGCUAUCGGCCUGAAAGACGUGACUACCGGUGACACCCUGUGUGAUCCGGAAAACCCGAUCAUUCUGGAACGUAUGGAAUUCCCUGAGCCGGUAAUCUCCAUCGCGGUAGAACCGAAAACCAAAGCUGACCAGGAAAAAAUGGGUCUGGCUCUGGGCCGUCUGGCGAAAGAAGACCCGUCGUUCCGCGUAUGGACUGAUGAAGAAUCUAACCAGACCAUCAUCGCUGGUAUGGGUGAACUUCACCUAGAUAUCAUCGUUGACCGUAUGAAGCGUGAAUUCAACGUUGAAGCGAACGUGGGUAAACCUCAGGUUGCUUACCGCGAAGCGAUUCGCGCGAAAGUUACCGACAUCGAAGGUAAACACGCGAAACAGUCUGGUGGUCGCGGUCAGUAUGGUCAUGUUGUUAUCGACAUGUACCCGCUGGAGCCGGGCUCUAACCCGAAAGGUUACGAGUUCAUCAACGACAUCAAAGGUGGUGUAAUUCCUGGCGAGUACAUCCCGGCCGUUGAUAAAGGCAUCCAGGAGCAGCUGAAAUCUGGCCCGCUGGCGGGUUAUCCGGUAGUUGAUCUCGGUGUGCGUCUGCACUUCGGUUCUUACCAUGACGUUGACUCCUCUGAGCUGGCGUUUAAACUGGCUGCGUCUAUCGCCUUUAAAGAAGGCUUUAAGAAAGCAAAACCAGUUCUGCUUGAGCCGAUCAUGAAGGUUGAAGUAGAAACACCUGAAGAGAAUACCGGUGACGUUAUCGGCGACCUUAGCCGCCGUCGUGGUAUGCUCAAAGGUCAGGAAUCUGAAGUUACAGGCGUUAAGAUCCACGCUGAAGUACCGCUGUCUGAAAUGUUCGGAUAUGCAACUCAGCUGCGUUCUCUGACCAAAGGUCGCGCAUCGUACACUAUGGAAUUCCUGAAGUAUGAUGAUGCGCCGAACAACGUUGCUCAGGCCGUAAUCGAAGCCCGUGGUAAAUAAGCCGCAGGGUUAAAAACCAAAAUCCCGUGCUCUCUCCUGAAGGGGAGAGCGCUAUAGUAAGGAAUAUAGCCGUGUCUAAAGAAAAAUUUGAACGUACAAAACCGCACGUUAACGUCGGCACCAUCGGCCACGUUGACCACGGUAAAACUACCCUGACCGCUGCAAUCACCACCGUACUGGCUAAAACCUACGGCGGUGCUGCUCGUGCAUUCGACCAGAUCGAUAACGCUCCGGAAGAAAAAGCGCGUGGUAUCACCAUCAACACUUCUCACGUUNGUAACAUCAAAUCGUACCCCAAACCGACACAGGUGGUCAGGUAGAGAAUACCAAGGCGCUUGAGAGAACUCGGGUGAAGGAACUAGGCAAAAUGGUGCCGUAACUUCGGGAGAAGGCACGCUGACACGUAGGUGAAGUGAUUUACUCACGGAGCUGAAGUCAGCCGAAGAUACCAGCUGGCUGCAACUGUUUAUUAAAAACACAGCACUGUGCAAACACGAAAGUGGACGUAUACGGUGUGACGCCUGCCCGGUGCCGGAAGGUUAAUUGAUGGGGUCAGCGCAAGCGAAGCUCCUGAUCGAAGCCCCGGUAAACGGCGGCCGUAACUAUAACGGUCCUAAGGUAGCGAAAUUCCUUGUCGGGUAAGUUCCGACCUGCACGAAUGGCGUAAUGAUGGCCAGGCUGUCUCCACCCGAGACUCAGUGAAAUUGAACUCGCUGUGAAGAUGCAGUGUACCCGCGGCAAGACGGAAAGACCCCGUGAACCUUUACUAUAGCUUGACACUGAACAUUGAGCCUUGAUGUGUAGGAUAGGUGGGAGGCUUUGAAGUGUGGACGCCAGUCUGCAUGGAGCCGACCUUGAAAUACCACCCUUUAAUGUUUGAUGUUCUAACGUGGACCCGUGAUCCGGGUUGCGGACAGUGUCUGGUGGGUAGUUUGACUGGGGCGGUCUCCUCCUAAAGAGUAACGGAGGAGCACGAAGGUUGGCUAAUCCUGGUCGGACAUCAGGAGGUUAGUGCAAUGGCAUAAGCCAGCUUGACUGCGAGCGUGACGGCGCGAGCAGGUGCGAAAGCAGGUCAUAGUGAUCCGGUGGUUCUGAAUGGAAGGGCCAUCGCUCAACGGAUAAAAGGUACUCCGGGGAUAACAGGCUGAUACCGCCCAAGAGUUCAUAUCGACGGCGGUGUUUGGCACCUCGAUGUCGGCUCAUCACAUCCUGGGGCUGAAGUAGGUCCCAAGGGUAUGGCUGUUCGCCAUUUAAAGUGGUACGCGAGCUGGGUUUAGAACGUCGUGAGACAGUUCGGUCCCUAUCUGCCGUGGGCGCUGGAGAACUGAGGGGGGCUGCUCCUAGUACGAGAGGACCGGAGUGGACGCAUCACUGGUGUUCGGGUUGUCAUGCCAAUGGCACUGCCCGGUAGCUAAAUGCGGAAGAGAUAAGUGCUGAAAGCAUCUAAGCACGAAACUUGCCCCGAGAUGAGUUCUCCCUGAGACUUUAGGUCUCCUGAAGGAACGUUGAAGACGACGACGUUGAUAGGCCGGGUGUGUAAGCGCAGCGAUGCGUUGAGCUAACCGGUACUAAUGAACCGUGAGGCUUAACCUU